This 71-nucleotide transfer RNA is filed under the name Puccinia triticina 1-1 BBBD Race 1. Its description in RNAcentral is "Puccinia triticina tRNA PTTG_20643". The record is from RNAcentral. Lineage: Eukaryota; Fungi; Basidiomycota; Pucciniomycetes; Pucciniales; Pucciniaceae.
GCUACUUAGCUCAAUGGUUGGAGAGUCACCCAUGAAAGUUGAGGUUGGGGGUUUGAUUCCUUCAGUAUGCA